AGACGGAGGGUCCUAGCGUUGUUCGGAAUAACUGGGCGUAAAGGGUACGUAGGCGGUUUGGUCAGUUAGAUGUGAAAGCCCAGGGCUCAACCUUGGAACUGCAUUUAAUACUGCCAGACUUGAGAUCGGAAGAGGAAAGCGGAAUUCCUAGUGUAGAGGUGAAAUUCGUAGAUAUUAGGAGGAACAUCAGAGGCGAAGGCGGCUUUCUGGUCCGAUACUGACGCUGAGGCGCGAAAGCGUGGGGAGCAAACAGGAUUAGAAACCCGAGUAGUCC
This 274-nucleotide ribosomal RNA is filed under the name uncultured bacterium. Its description in RNAcentral is "partial 16S ribosomal RNA". It matches the Rfam family "Bacterial small subunit ribosomal RNA", at positions 523 to 796 of the family's 1533-position model. The record is from RNAcentral.